Molecule: ribosomal RNA, 488 nt
Filed under: uncultured bacterium
Lineage: Bacteria
Description: bacterial SSU rRNA
Rfam family: Bacterial small subunit ribosomal RNA
Source: RNAcentral
GUAGCGUGAAGGAUGACUGCCCUAUGGGUUGUAAACUUCUUUUAUAUGGGAAUAAAGUGAGCCACGUGUAGCUUUUUGUAUGUACCAUACGAAUAAGGAUCGGCUAACUCCGUGCCAGCAGCCGCGGUAAUACGGAGGAUCCAAGCGUUAUCCGGAUUUGUUGGGUUUAAAGGGAGCGUAGAUGGAUGUUUAAGUCAGUUGUGAAAGUUUGCGGCUCAACCGUAAAAUUGCAGUUGAUACUGGAUGUCUUGAGUGCAGUUGAGGCAGGCGGAAUUCGUGGUGUAGCGGUGAAAUGCUUAGAUAUCACGAAGAACUCCGAUUGCGAAGGCAGCCUGCUAAGCUGCAACUGACAUUGAGGCUCGAAAGUGUGGGUAUCAAACAGGAUUAGAUACCCUGGUAGUCCACACGGUAAACGAUGAAUACUCGCUGUUUGCGAUAUACGGCAAGCGGCCAAGCGAAAGCGUUAAGUAUUCCACCUGGGGAGUACG